This 428-nucleotide ribosomal RNA is filed under the name uncultured bacterium. RNAcentral's name for it is "bacterial SSU rRNA". It matches the Rfam family "Bacterial small subunit ribosomal RNA", at positions 30 to 461 of the family's 1533-position model. The record is from RNAcentral.
AUUGAACGCUGGCGGCAGGCCUAACACAUGCAAGUCGAGCGAGAAAGGCCUUCGGGCUGAGUACAGCGGCGGACGGGUGAGUAACGCGUAGGAAUCUACCUGGUAGUGGGGGACAACAUGGGGAAACUCAUGCUAAUACCGCAUACGCCCUAUGGGGGAAAGCGGGGGACCUUCGGGCCUCGCGCUAUCAGAUGAGCCUGCGUAGGAUUAGCUUGUUGGUGAGGUAAAGGCUCACCAAGGCGACGAUCCUUAGCUGGUCUGAGAGGAUGAUCAGCCACACUGGAACUGAGACACGGUCCAGACUCCUACGGGAGGCAGCAGUGGGGAAUAUUGCGCAAUGGGCGAAAGCCUGACGCAGCCAUGCCGCGUGUGUGAAGAAGGCCUUAGGGUUGUAAAGCACUUUCAAUUGGGAAGAAAGGUUGCGUGUU